UAUCUCAUUAUCAAAAAUCCCAUCAGAAGAUUAACAAAAAAAGAAGAUGGAACACUCUUUGCAUUCGUUUAAAGUUCUUUUUCUCCUUGUGUUGUUUUCCAUGGGCAAUGCAGAGGCAAAGGAUUGUUAUGAAAGGAGCAAAAAAUUCCCUGAGAUCAUGUGUCUUGAUUGGCCACAAAGGUGUCCCGGAGCUUGCAGGCGUGAAGGUUUCACUAAUGGAAAGUGCACUACAAUUAACGAUGUCAUAGCUUGCUACUGUACAAAGCCGUGUCCUUUCAAUGAUCAUCUCCCAUAAUCAAUAUUUUCUUUUCUAAUUAUUAUUUUAAUAUUAUGUCUGUAUGGGGCUUAAGUAAAAAAAAAAUCCAAUUAACUAGCUUCUAACCCAAUGUAUCCUUUGAUGAUAUAUGAUGAAAUAUCAUUUUGGAUAAA
Molecule: long non-coding RNA, 429 nt
Organism: Lycium ferocissimum
Lineage: Eukaryota; Viridiplantae; Streptophyta; Magnoliopsida; Solanales; Solanaceae
Exons: 2
Source: RefSeq, a predicted model, not a curated record